Molecule: ribosomal RNA, 356 nt
Filed under: uncultured Flavobacterium sp.
Lineage: Bacteria; Pseudomonadati; Bacteroidota; Flavobacteriia; Flavobacteriales; Flavobacteriaceae
Description: bacterial SSU rRNA
Rfam family: Bacterial small subunit ribosomal RNA
Source: RNAcentral
GAGUUUGAUCGUGGCUCAGGAUGAACGCUAGCGGCAGGCCUAACACAUGCAAGUCGAGGGGUAGUCCAGCAAUGGAUGAGACCGGCGCACGGGUGCGUAACGCGUAUGCAACCUACCUUGAACAGGGGGAUAGCCCAGAGAAAUUUGGAUUAAUACCCCAUGGUAUAAUUAGAUGGCAUCAUUUGAUUAUUAAAGUUCCAACGGUUCAAGAUGGGCAUGCGUCCCAUUAGCUAGAUGGUAAGGUAACGGCUUACCAUGGCUACGAUGGGUAGGGGUCCUGAGAGGGAGAUCCCCCACACUGGUACUGAGACACGGACCAGACUCCUACGGGAGCAGCAGUGAGGAAUAUUGGACAA